UACAGAGGGUGCGAGCGUUAAUCGGAAUUACUGGGCGUAAAGCGCGCGUAGGCGGCUUUGCAAGUCGGGUGUGAAAUCCCCAGGCUUAACCUGGGAACUGCAUUCGAGACUGCAUUGCUAGAGUAUGGGAGAGGGAAGUGGAAUUUCCGGUGUAGCGGUGAAAUGCGUAGAUAUCGGGAGGAACACCAGUGGCGAAGGCGACUUCCUGGCCUGUUCUUGACGCUGAGGCGCGAAAGCUAGGGUAGCAAACGGG
Molecule: ribosomal RNA, 253 nt
Filed under: uncultured bacterium
Lineage: Bacteria
Description: partial 16S ribosomal RNA
Rfam family: Bacterial small subunit ribosomal RNA
Source: RNAcentral